CAGUCGCCGCGGGAAUACAGAGGGUGCGAGCGUUAAUCGGAUUUACUGGGCGUAAAGCGUGCGUAGGUGGUUUGUUAAGUUGGAUGUGAAAGCCCCGGGCUCAACCUGGGAACUGCAUCCAAAACUGGCAAGCUAGAGUACGGUAGAGGGUGGUGGAAUUUCCUGUGUAGCGGUGAAAUGCGUAGAUAUAGGAAGGAACACCAGUGGCGAAGGCGACCACCUGGACUGAUACUGACACUGAGGUGCGAAAGCGUGGGGAGCAAACAGGAUUAGAUACCCCCGUAGUCCCUGUCUCUUAUAC
This 301-nucleotide ribosomal RNA is filed under the name uncultured bacterium. Its description in RNAcentral is "partial 16S ribosomal RNA". It matches the Rfam family "Bacterial small subunit ribosomal RNA", at positions 509 to 807 of the family's 1533-position model. The record is from RNAcentral.